This 517-nucleotide ribosomal RNA is filed under the name uncultured bacterium. RNAcentral's name for it is "partial 16S ribosomal RNA". It matches the Rfam family "Bacterial small subunit ribosomal RNA", at positions 28 to 523 of the family's 1533-position model. The record is from RNAcentral.
GAUGAACGCUGGCGGCGUGUCUAAGGCAUGCAAGUCGAACGAGACUUUUCGUUGUAGCAAUACGAUGGAAAGUUUAGUGGCGAACGGGUGCUUAACACGUGGGCAACCUGCCAGGAAGUGGGGGAUAGCUCGCCGAAAGGCGAAUUAAUACCGCAUGUGAUUAGAGAGGACAUCCUUUCGAAAUUAAAGUCGGGGCAACCUGACGCUUCUUGUGGGGCCCGCGGCCUAUCAGCUAGUUGGUGAGGUAACGGCCCACCAAGGCUUUGACGGGUAGCUGGUCUGAGAGGACGACCAGCCACACUGGGACUGAGACACGGCCCAGACACCUACGGGUGGCAGCAGUCGAGAAUUUUUGACAAUGGGGGAAACCCUGAUCGAGCGACGCCGCGUGGAGGAUGAAGGUCUUCGGAUUGUAAACUCCUGUCAUUGGGGAACAAGGUGCAUACGUUAACUGCGUGUGCAUUGAUAGUACCCGAAGAGGAAGAGACGGCUAACUCUGUGCCAGCCGCCGCAGUAA